This 462-nucleotide ribosomal RNA is filed under the name Triticum aestivum (bread wheat). RNAcentral's name for it is "partial small subunit ribosomal RNA". Lineage: Eukaryota; Viridiplantae; Streptophyta; Magnoliopsida; Poales; Poaceae. The record is from RNAcentral.
AUGUUUUACUACCAAGCAAGGGGUGGAGAGGUUAGGGACAAGAAGAGAAGGGGCGGCAGGGCCGCCUUCAGCCAUAAGACCGACUUCUGCUGCAUCCAGCAACCGAACGAUUCUCUUAAUGAUGGAUUCUAUGUCCUACAUCGCAUGCUGGAGUACAGACGGGAUCACCAGAACCUUCACAUGUCACCUAGAUUUGGCGAUGCCCAUAUUCUGCAACGGGCAAAGGACAUAGGAGAUAUCGAGGAUCAUCGACUUCGAGCUGAGUUCUAUAACAUCCAGCGCGAACUUGCCCAAUUCAUCAUGAAAGAGGUCGUCGGAAAAACAAGGAUGUUAUACGGAGGACAAAUGUCACGGGAAGACGUCCGAACAUGGAUAGCCUCUCAGUGUCUCGACAUGAAGCCUUUCACUAAGCUCGGGGACUAUCUCCGUGACCUCGAUGGAUGGCACGGCAUGUUGGAGUGA